AGAGUUUGAUCAUGGCUCAGAUUGAACGCUGGCGGCAGGCCUAACACAUGCAAGUCGAGCGGAUGACGGGGAGCUUGCUCCUGCUUGAUUCAGCGGCGGACGGGUGAGUAAUGCCUAGGAAUCUGCCUGGUAGUGGGGGACAACCGUUUCGAAAGGAACGCUAAUACCGCAUACGUCCUACGGGAGAAAGCAGGGGACCUUCGGGCCUUGCGCUAUUCAGAUGAGCCUAGGGAUUAGCUAGUUGGUGGGGUAAUGGCUCACCAAGGCGACGAUCCGUAACUGGUUCUGAGAGGAUGAUCAGUCACACUGGAACUGAGACACGGUCCAGACUCCUACGGGAGGCAGCAGUGGGGAAUAUUGGACAAUGGGCGAAAGCCUGAUCCAGCCAUGCCGCGUGUGUGAAGAAGGUCUUCGGAUUGUAAAGCACUUUAAGUUGGGAGGAAGGGCAGUAAGUUAAUACCUUGCUGUUUUGACGUUACCGACAGAAUAAGCACGGCUAGCUCUGUGCCAGCAGCCGCGGUAAUACAGAGGGUGCAAGCGUUAAUCGGAAUUACUGGGCGUAAAGCGCGCGUAGGUGGUUUGUUAAGUUGGAUGUGAAAGCCCCGGGCUCAACCUGGGAACUGCAUCCAAAACUGGCAAGCUAGAGUACGGUAGAGGGUGGUGGAAUUUCCUGUGUAGCGGUGAAAUGCGUAGAUAUAGGAAGGAACACCAGUGGCGAAGGCGACCACCUGGACUGAUACUGACACUGAGGUGCGAAAGCGUGGGGAGCAACAGGAUUAGAUACCCUGGUAGUCCACGCCGUAAACGAUGUCAACUAGCCGUUGGAAUCCUUGAGAUUUUAGUGGCGCAGCUAACGCAUUAAGUUGACCGCCUGGGGAGUACGGCCGCAAGGUUAAAACUCAAAUGAAUUGACGGGGGCCCGCACAAGCGGUGGAGCAUGUGGUUUAAUUCGAAGCAACGCGAAGAACCUUACCAGGCCUUGACAUGCAGAGAACUUUCCAGAGAUGGAUUGGUGCCUUCGGGAACUCUGACACAGGUGCUGCAUGGCUGUCAUCUCAGCUCGUGUCGUGAGAUGUUGGGUUAAGUCCCGUAACGAGCGCAACCCUUGUCCUUAGUUACCAGCAACGUUAUGGUGGGCACUCAAAGGAGACUGCCGGUGACAAACCGGAGGAAGGUGGGGAUGACGUCAAGUCAUUCAUGGCCCUUACGGCCUGGGCUACACACGUGCUACAAUGGUCGGUACAGAGGGUUGCCAAGCCGCGAGGUCGGAGCUAAUCUCACAAAACCGAUCUGUAGUCCGGAUCGCAGUCUGCAACUCGACUGCGUGAAGUCGGAAUCGGCUAGUAAUCGCGAAUCAGAAUGUCGCGGUGAAUACGUUCCCGGGCCUUGUACACACCGCCCGUCACACCAAUGGGAGUGGGUUGCACCAGAAGUAGCUAGUCUAACCUUCGGGAGGACGGUUACCACGGUGUGAUUCAUGACUGGGGUGAAGUCGUAACAAGGUAGCC
Molecule: ribosomal RNA, 1508 nt
Filed under: Pseudomonas putida
Lineage: Bacteria; Pseudomonadati; Pseudomonadota; Gammaproteobacteria; Pseudomonadales; Pseudomonadaceae
Also listed under: 2 other names
Description: bacterial SSU rRNA
Rfam family: Bacterial small subunit ribosomal RNA
Source: RNAcentral